RNAcentral lists this long non-coding RNA (289 nucleotides) under Equus caballus (horse). RNAcentral describes it as "transmembrane serine protease 13 (ENSECAG00000011308.4)". Lineage: Eukaryota; Metazoa; Chordata; Mammalia; Perissodactyla; Equidae. The record is from RNAcentral.
GCUUCCAAUGACCUCACACAUCCCAACCGGCUUCCCCGCCCCAACUGGUGGGGGCUGGCCGUCAGCCCUCCAGCCCCCUUUUCUCUACACGUCCCGGAAGCCAGGGGCCAACAUGGAUCUUCCUGCCGACAUCAGCUGAGCCUGGAAGCCUCACCCCUUGGGAGACCAUGGAAAGGGUCAGCCGCCAGGUUUGUCUGGGGAAGGAGGCAAGAUUAGUCUCAUUUUACACGUGUGGAGACGCACUUGCCCAAGGUAACCCAGUUAGGAACGGAUGCAGUCAUACUGGAAC